AAAAACAUGUCUCUUUGUAUCACACACAUAAAGAGUCGGACCUGCCCGGUGAAAUUUUUUAACGGCCGCGGUAUUUUGACCGUGCGAAGGUAGCAUAAUAAUUUGCUCUAUAAUUGGGGGCUGGUAUGAAUGGUUUGACGUGAGCGAUACUGUCUCUACUUUAAUUAUUUAGAAUUUGAUUUUUAGGUGAAGAAACCUAAAUUACAUUAAAAGACAAGAAGACCCUAUUGAGCUUUAAAGAAUUUAGUAAGGUGCUGGCUUAUUUUCUAUAAGCUUUAUUUAUUAAAUAUUUUGGUUGGGGCGACUAAGGAACAAAUAAAGCUUCUUUAUGAUGAGAGUUUUACUGAUUUUGAUCCAAAUUUUUUUGAUUUAAGAAAUUAGUUACCAUAGGGAUAACAGCAUAAUUCUUUUUAAGAGUUCAUAUCGAAAAGAGAGUUUGUGACCUCGAUGUUGGACUAGAAUAUCCUAAAGAUGUAGCAGUCUUUAAGGGUUGGUCUGUUCGACCAUUAAAAUUCUACGUGAU
Molecule: ribosomal RNA, 523 nt
Filed under: Ovula ovum
Lineage: Eukaryota; Metazoa; Mollusca; Gastropoda; Littorinimorpha; Ovulidae
Description: partial 16S ribosomal RNA
Rfam family: Bacterial large subunit ribosomal RNA
Source: RNAcentral